This 73-nucleotide transfer RNA is filed under the name Ictidomys tridecemlineatus (thirteen-lined ground squirrel). RNAcentral describes it as "Spermophilus tridecemlineatus (thirteen-lined ground squirrel) tRNA". It matches the Rfam family "tRNA". From Rfam's summary of the family: Transfer RNA (tRNA) molecules are approximately 80 nucleotides in length. Their secondary structure includes four short double-helical elements and three loops (D, anti-codon, and T loops). Lineage: Eukaryota; Metazoa; Chordata; Mammalia; Rodentia; Sciuridae. The record is from Rfam by way of RNAcentral.
GGGGAUAUAGCUCAGUUGUUAGAGUGCUUGCCUCUUAUGCACAAGGUCCUGGGUUCAAUCCCCAGCACCACCA